CCGCCGGCGACCGGCGCACGGGUGAGUAACACGUAUGCAACCUGGCCGUGACAGAUGGAUAACCGGGAGAAAUCCCGCCUAAUACAACAUAAUGCCGGGAGGGGACAUCCCCUGCCGGCCAAAGGGGGCGACCCCGGUCACGGAUGGUCAUGCGGCGCAUUAGGUAGUUGGUGGGGCAACGGCCCACCAAGCCGACGAUGCGUAGGGGUUCUGAGAGGAAGGUCCCCCACAUUGGAACUGAGACACGGUCCAAACUCCUACGGGAGGCAGCAG
Molecule: ribosomal RNA, 273 nt
Filed under: uncultured bacterium
Lineage: Bacteria
Description: partial 16S ribosomal RNA
Rfam family: Bacterial small subunit ribosomal RNA
Source: RNAcentral